Long non-coding RNA from Harmonia axyridis, 333 nucleotides. RefSeq lists it as uncharacterized. The transcript has 2 exons. The record is from RefSeq and is a predicted model, not a curated record. Lineage: Eukaryota; Metazoa; Arthropoda; Insecta; Coleoptera; Coccinellidae.
CUCUUCGUUUAUUGCUCAGCUUCACCAAUUAUUUACGAACAAUCUUCAACAGAAACGGGGAACAUUCCUGGUGAAAUGUCUACGAGUUCUCCAAGAUACAAAGACGAAAGUUUCUAUGGAAGUAAAGUAUUGGGUCGUAUAAGUUCAGCAGCACUGGCGUCUCUAGGUGGAUGAAUAGCAGAUUGCUUGAUAGGACUAUGAUUAUUUAUCAGUCAUAAUAUCUGGUCAAAAUAAUCGUGGAAUAACUAUGUUUUCUAUUGAUUCUCAAUGUAUAUGGAACAUAUUGAUAUAACGAAUGGAAUUAUUUGAAUAAAAUAUUCGAAAACAAUGUAA